This 495-nucleotide ribosomal RNA is filed under the name uncultured bacterium. RNAcentral's name for it is "partial 16S ribosomal RNA". It matches the Rfam family "Bacterial small subunit ribosomal RNA", at positions 28 to 507 of the family's 1533-position model. The record is from RNAcentral.
GACGAACGCUGGCGGCGUGCCUAAUACAUGCAAGUAGAACGCUGAAGGAGGAGCUUGCUUCUCUGGAUGAGUUGCGAACGGGUGAGUAACGCGUAGGUAACCUGCCUGGUAGCGGGGGAUAACUAUUGGAAACGAUAGCUAAUACCGCAUAAGAGUAGAUGUUGCAUGACAUUUGCUUAAAAGGUGCAAUUGCAUCACUACCAGAUGGACCUGCGUUGUAUUAGCUAGUUGGUGGGGUAACGGCUUACCAAGGCGACGAUACAUAGCCGACCUGAGAGGGUGAUCGGCCACACUGGGACUGAGACACGGCCCAGACGCCUACGGGAGGCAGCAGUAGGGAAUCUUCGGCAAUGGGCGGAAGUCUGACCGAGCAACGCCGCGGGAGUGAAGAAGGAUUUCGGAUCGUAAAGCUCUGUUGUAAGAGAAGAACGAGUGUGAGAGUGGAAAGUUCACACUGUGACGGUAUCUUACCAGAAAGGGACGGCUAACUACGUG